UGUGAUACACAGGAGUGGAAGAAUCCGCCCUCCCCUCAGCCCUCCCAGCUCUUUUCCCGGCAUCCUUUGCUGUGGUUGGAGUGUCUCCAGAUAGCCUGCCGAGCGUGACUCCCUCUUGCUCUUCCUCGCCCCGCAGGAUCCCAAGCUGGGUGUUGCUUCAGGCUAUCCGCACUUCCUAAAUCCUCCCUCUAGGGGGACAGUGGGGACAGAGACGCAGACCCUGCCUCUUGCCCCCGAAGAAGGUUGGACACUUGCCAUCUUCCUGGAGUUUUUAAAUGUCCGGAAUUCUUUUUAAGGGCCACCCACUCACACAGAACUAGAGCCGAUUUAUAAUAAGGAGACGGGGAGGGGACAAGGAAAGGGGUUCUUGCUUCUCACUAUGGGCAUCGAGUGACUCUGAAUGCCCUGGGCUUACCUGAAUGGGAUUCUACUCCAUAAGUGCUCCUUCAAGAGGUCCUUUUGCCUUUUUAAAUUUUAAUUACCCUUUAAAAAUCUAGUUAAUACAUUUAUACGGUACACAACUUGAAAGGUACAAAAGAGGAUGCAGUGAAAACUCAUGUUUCCAAGCCAGCCAGUUCCAGAAGGGUGUUUUAACUUACAACAUUGUAAAAUGAAUAAUGUACAUUUUUGGUAUAUUCCAGCUACCGAGUUAGAUGUGUUGCCUGGAUUAUUUCAAGUAAUUUCCCAAUUGCUUAAUUCUAUAAAUAUUUCCUGGGCAUCUGUUUUGUGUCAAGCAUUCAGCCCAGAGGAUAUGACAAUGAAAGAAGUAGAAAACACUGCUCUCAUGGAGCAUGUGUUCUAGUGCGACCUUACAAGGUUCAGAUUACUGUCACCGCUGUAGAGGUAAGAAAGCUGAGGCUUAGAGGGAGAACUAUGACAUCUAAAGUCAUAAACUCAUGUGGCAGAGCUAGAACUUAAUGUUAACAAGAUUUACCAAAAACUAAAGCCUGUGCUCUCCCUAACACUAUCUCCUAAAAAAAGUAACUAAAUGCUACACAGCAUCCACACGUGGAUGCAUGCUAGUUUGCUUAUCAUUAACUUAAAAUUAAAUGCAGAUUGGUUUUCUGAGACAGUAUCAUUUUACUGAUGAUGACGCUGACGCUCAGAAAGGGAGGAACUGAAAUUUGAACCAUGUCGGCGUGACCCAAAGCCUAUGUGUGACACUGUCCUGAGAGUAUCCAGGCCAGUUCUGAUUGGAUUUUCUUUGUCUUUCUUCAUCUAGUUCUCUGUCAGCUUUGCUCACAUGAGACAAGUCACUUCCUAGUAUGAAAGCUGAUACGAGACGUAGGAAUACCUUCAGUCUUCUGUCUACAAUAGCUUCACGUUUUGUAUUACACAAGCUAGCCUGGCUUCUUGACAUGGUGGUGAUAAGAUCCCAAGAGGGAGAAUGGAAGCACACAAUGCCUCUUAAGAUCGAGGCUGGGAACUGGCACACCGUCACCUCCACUGCGGUCUGUUGGCCAAUGCAAGUCAUAAGCUCAGCCCCAAUUAAGGCGAGGAGGAGAAUUGUACAAUUUCUGGUGGGAAGGGCUAUGAACUCACAUUACAAAUGAUAUAGAUACAGGGGGAGGGGAGGCAAUUGGAGCCAUUUUUUCAGUCAAUUGUUAUCACUCUCUCUUGUUUUGACUGAGAAGAAUGAAAUUCAGAGAAGGCAAGCAAUUUGAGGAUUACCACAGAACGUCCGACAGAGUGAGGACUAGUUAGAACAAGAAAUAAAAACCUGAAAAAUCCAAUGAAUUAACAAAAUGUCAACGCAACUGUCUGGGUUUUUUCCACCACACUGUGGUCUUUGGCACAGAGUGGCUUCCCCUUGUCCUUGGCUUUGCACUUUCUAAAGACAGCGUCCCUGGAAGAAGGAGAUGUGGACAGCUUCUUCCAUUCUCUUGGACGAGAUCACCAGGUGUGGCAUUCCAUGUGCCUAAUCAGGGCAGAUUGCAAAGCUUUUGUUGCAGGCUCCUAUUUUCUUUCCUCGUGUAAGUCCUUGCUGUUUGAUUCAACAAGGCAGCAGCCAGCUUCAUGAAAGGCAAGAGUCCAGGUCCGCACUGUUCAAAUAAAAUCAUUGGAUCAUAGGAGAUAAGUCGGGAAGAACUUUGCCCAAAAAACCCUAGGUUUGUUCUCUCAUUUUACUAAUGAGUUAACUGGCCUGCUUAGUUAGUGACAGCUAGUUAGUUGAAACCCCAAGGACAAGGCCCAAGUUUCCUGGAAUCCAGGCUGAAGCUUUGAAAUCAAGUAGUCUUCAUUUUCAUGCUUUUGAAAGCAAAUUCAUACCUGCCACCUUAUUGGUAUCCUCAGCCAGCCACAUAAUAUAGUUAGGGGAGAGAUUAUUUCAUGUGUUUGACACGUGGUGAAUGUUUAACUGUGUGAGAGUGACCCGCCGCCCACAGCUGGUUACUGACGGAACCAGUCCUUUGACCCUAGUUCCUGACUCUGUGGGUAUAGUUUUGUCCUGAUGAAUGGACUCUUCCAGGAGGAUUAUUCUUGGGUAUUUGCAAUACUGCUGAGUUUUUAUUAUUCUAACAAAUUUCCUCAUCGCAUUCUUUGUGACAGGUAAAGAGAUAAGGAAGAGGGGAGCACAGGGGCAUUAGACACAUGCUGGUGAGAAACACAGGCACAAAACAAUGCAAUGAUGAUACCAUUGUGAAGCACAUUUACAUUAACUGCACACUUUUGCAGGUCCAGUCUAACUUUCUUUCCUCAACAAUCCCUAAUUGGUAGAUGGCAAAAUGGAGGCAUGCGUACGCUACGAUUUCCAAGAGCAUUUCACUACAUGGGAAAAUACAAAGUAGCAAGUGCAGCAUGUAGAAUUAACUAUGGAUGAUAAUACAGCGAUGGUCUGCAGGGGACUCCCCACAAGGACAGCAGGAAAUAUGUCAAAGUGUUAACAAGGAUGUGGUCUGGAUUAUGGGGUUACAAACAUCUUUUACAUCUUUCGUUGUCUUCUUUAUACUUGUCUUCUCACACCUUUUUUUUUCUUUGCAGUGACAAUGUGUUACUUAGAGAGGAAGUAAGUUGUUAGAGACCACGCAAGAGAGAUGGUGGUAGUGACCGCUGUGGGCUGUUGUGGGUGAGGCGGGAUUAGCAAAGGAGAAGGGGCAGCUGAAACCGAGUGGGUGUCAGAGCUCAAGGGAGCUGAGGUGGGGUUUGCAUGGGUGGCUGGGGCAGUGAUGGGAGAUAAGCUUUAUAUGAGGGAGACUGAUCCAAGAAGGAAACAUACUAAGGAUAUUUGGCAACCAUCAGAAUAGUAAAUAAUUUGUCCAAGAAAUAGCAGUGGGAACUAGUAGAUGAAAGUUCCGUGAGGAAUGGUUUAUUAACAUAGUCUCAAAGUAUUUAUUAGUGAGAAAGAGAAAAAGAAUAAUUUUACAGGAGAGAAUUUGGUAAACACCUUAAUCAAGAGAUCACAGUUAUCAUCACCAAUAAUGGGACAAGUCAAAAUCAUGAGCCACCUGAUAGGGUCAAAUGAGAAGAACACAGUAUCACUUUGGUGAAAUUCCUCCCCAAAAUGCGUAGCCUCCCAACCUGAAUCUAAUCGUGAGGGACCAUGAGAGACAUUUACCAAAUAAUCGGCCUGUCAUCUUCAAAAAUGCUGAAGGCAUGAAAGCUGCGGAGUCACUCACGUGACAGCCAAAUGCAACACCUGACUCUCAGCUGGAUCCUUUUACAAUAAAGGACAUUAUUGGGACAACUGCCCAAAUCUGAUUGGGACCUGAGGAGAAGAAGAAACAAUGCAUCAGUUCUGAUUUCCUGAUUGGGUGGUUCUGUUUUGGUUAUGGCGGAGAAUGUCCUUAUUUGUAGGAAAUACAUACUAAAGAUUUCAUGGAUAAGGUAGGCAAUUUACUCUCAGAUAACUCAUGAGAAACAAGUUGUUUGUUUUAUUCUUACAGGUUUUCUGUACUUUGAAAUUAUUUUAGAUUAAGAGGCAUGGUAUGGAAAGGAUCCCAGGAAAGAUUUGUGAUAUACUGAAAGCUAUUUUAGUAAUGUUACCACCCAGAAAAUCUUAUUUAAAGGUAGUGCUUUAAACUGUGUCUCCAUUUUUCGAGAAUUAACCAGGUAAAGUUAAUGAUAAGCUAUUUUACAGCUAAAAUGUUUAUUAUUAUCCGGGUGAUGCGAUAAAAUACUUGGUUUUGCUGUAUAAAUUAUUAAAUGAUUUGGUCUGUUUGCA
Molecule: non-coding RNA, 4159 nt
Organism: Equus caballus (horse)
Lineage: Eukaryota; Metazoa; Chordata; Mammalia; Perissodactyla; Equidae
Source: RefSeq, a predicted model, not a curated record